AUUGAACGCUGGCGGCAUGCCUUACACAUGCGAGUCGAGCGGUAACAGGCCUUCUGGUGCUGACGUGUGGGGCGCGGGGGAGUGAUGCAUCUAAAAGUACCCCUAGGUGGGGGGUAAAACAGCGAAAACUGUGCUCUAAUCCCAUAUGAGCUGUGAGUGAGAGCGGGGGAGCGCGUCGCAAUUUUUGCCCUCGCACCAUUCUAGGUGCGAUUAGCUAGUUGGUGGGGUAAAGGCCUACCAAGGCGACGAUCCGUAACUGGUUUGAGAGGAUGAUCAGUCACACUGGAACUGAGACACGGUCCAGACUCCUACGGGAGGCAGCAGUGGGGAAUAUUGGACAAUGGGCGAAAGCCUGAUCCAGCCAUGCCGCGUGUGUGAAGAAGGUCUUCGGAUUGUAAAGCGCUUUUAGUAGGGAGGAAGCGCAGUAAGUUAAUACCUUGCUGUAAUGACGUUACCAACAGAAUAAGCACCGGCUAACUUCGUG
This 484-nucleotide ribosomal RNA is filed under the name uncultured bacterium. Its description in RNAcentral is "partial 16S ribosomal RNA". It matches the Rfam family "Bacterial small subunit ribosomal RNA", at positions 30 to 507 of the family's 1533-position model. The record is from RNAcentral.